ACUCUGAGAUGGAACGAGCUUUGGCAAAAUUGGGAAGAAGUAAGAAAGGAUCAUCCUCUGUACCUGAUCGGAAACUAUCAGAAUCGAAACAUUCGAAAUCUUCAUCAAGGAAGUCAAAAAAGAAAAGACAUGUCUCCUCUUCUGAAUUCAGUGAUGAGAGCUCGGACGGCUCUCGGGACAGGAAACGACACCGUAAGCACAGGCAUUCGUCAAAGAAAAAGAGUUCCAGUAGGCGACACAGGUCAAGGCGUACUAAGGAUGACUCUGAUACCGAUCCCAGCAGUGAUGUAGAACCCGAAUCUCGCCACAGACAUAGCAAGGGUCGACACCUCAAGGAUCGCAAAGAUAGGAGGUCAGAGAAGAAAAGAGAUGCUGAUUACAGUGAUCAUGAUGACAGGAAGAAAAGGAAAGUUGAGAAGAGCAGGGAUGUUGAGGAGGGUGAAAUUGAAGACCAACGAGAAAGAGUAGCGAAGAGACGACAUGACGUAGAGAGUGAUAUUGAAGAUCGGAGAGGAAAAAGAUCCGAGAAGAGGAGACAUGAUGUGGACAGUGACCUUGAAGAUCAGAGAGAAAAAAGACCCGAGAAGAGGGGACAUGAUGUGGACAGUGACCUUGAUGAUCGGAGAGAAAUAAGAUCCGAGAAGAGAAGACAUGAUGUGGACAGUGACCUUGAUGAUCGGAGAGAAAUAAGAUCCGAGAAGAGAAGACAUGAAGUGGACAAUGACCUUGAAGAUCAGAGAGAUAAAAGAUCCGAGAAGAGAAGGGACGUUGAGAACAGUGAUUUCGAAGAUCUAAGGGACAAGAGAGUCGAGAGUACAAUGUCACGGAUGGAAGACAGUGAAGAUGGUGAUGAAAGGCAUCGUAGGAAGGAUCGG
This 875-nucleotide long non-coding RNA is filed under the name Physcomitrium patens. RNAcentral describes it as "long non-coding RNA (PPAT_LNC005285)". Lineage: Eukaryota; Viridiplantae; Streptophyta; Bryopsida; Funariales; Funariaceae. The record is from RNAcentral.